Molecule: transfer RNA, 74 nt
Filed under: Lachnospiraceae bacterium XBB2008
Lineage: Bacteria; Bacillati; Bacillota; Clostridia; Lachnospirales; Lachnospiraceae
Rfam family: tRNA
About the family: Transfer RNA (tRNA) molecules are approximately 80 nucleotides in length. Their secondary structure includes four short double-helical elements and three loops (D, anti-codon, and T loops).
Source: Rfam by way of RNAcentral
GCCUGUGUCGCACAAUCGGCUGUGCACCCGCCUCUUAAGCGGUGACCAUGAGAGUUCGAAUCUCUUCACAGGCA